This 263-nucleotide signal recognition particle RNA is filed under the name human gut metagenome. Its description in RNAcentral is "Bacterial large signal recognition particle RNA". It matches the Rfam family "Bacterial large signal recognition particle RNA". From Rfam's summary of the family: The signal recognition particle (SRP) is a universally conserved ribonucleoprotein involved in the co-translational targeting of proteins to membranes. Archaeal SRP consists of a 7S RNA and homologues of the eukaryotic SRP19 and SRP54 proteins. In most bacteria, the SRP consists of a 4.5S RNA and the Ffh protein (a homologue of the eukaryotic SRP54 protein). The record is from RNAcentral.
CCGUGCUAUGCGGGGAGUUAGCGAUGCCCUGUUGUCCGCAAUUCGCUUAGCGGAGCAGAAUGCUGUUUUAGGCUUUACGUGUGGAAGGCUGGGUGCGAGAAGGAGCGUUGAUAUCAAGGUCUUAUGCAACGCACCACUGCGAACCGUGUCAGAGUAGGAAUACAGCAGCACUAAACAGACCGGUUGCGUGUGCCAUGAGGUUGCUUUGAAGGAGUACCCUGUCGCAUUAUCGCUUCGGCACGUACUGUCGAAAAAGAUGCACG